RNAcentral lists this ribosomal RNA (209 nucleotides) under uncultured bacterium. Its description in RNAcentral is "partial 16S ribosomal RNA". It matches the Rfam family "Bacterial small subunit ribosomal RNA", at positions 524 to 732 of the family's 1533-position model. The record is from RNAcentral.
UACGUAGGGGGCAAGCGUUGUCCGGAUUUAUUGGGCGUAAAGAGCGUGUAGGCGGUUUGGUAGGUCCGCUGUGAAAACUCGAGCUCAACUUCGAGACGCCGGUGGAAACCAUCAGACUAGAGUCCGGAAGAGGAGAGUGGGAAUUCCUGGUGUAGCGGUGAAAUGCGCAGAUAUCAGGAAGAACACCCGUGGCGAAGGCGGCUCUCUGG